GGGUUGUGAGGUUAAGCGAACAAGCGUACACGGUGGAUGCCCUGGCAGUCAGAGGCGAUGAAGGACGUGCUAAUCUGCGAAAAGCGCCGGUAAGGUGAUAUGAACCGUUAUAACCGGCGAUGUCCGAAUGGGGAAACCCGGUGCACUUCGGUGCAUCAUCGUUAGCUGAAUACAUAGGCUAACGAGGCGAACCGGGGGAACUGAAACAUCUAAGUACCCCGAGGAAAAGAAAUCAACCGAGAUUCCCCCAGUAGCGGCGAGCGAACGGGGAACAGCCCAGAGCCUGAAUCAGCUUGUGUGUCAGUGGAACGGUCUGGAAAGGCCGGCGAUACAGGGUGACAGCCCCGUACACGAAGGCACACAGGCUGUGAGCUCGAUGAGUAGGGCGGGACACGUGAUAUCCUGUCUGAAGAUGGGGGGACCAUCCUCCAAGGCUAAAUACUCCUGACUGACCGAUAGUGAACCAGUACCGUGAGGGAAAGGCGAAAAGAACCCCGGCGAGGGGAGUGAAACAGAACCUGAAACCGUGUACGUACAAGCAGUGGGAGCCUUCGUAAGAGGGUGACUGCGUACCUUUUGUAUAAUGGGUCAGCGACUUAUAUUCUGUAGCAAGGUUAACCGUAUAGGGGAGCCGAAGGGAAACCGAGUCUUAAUUGGGCGUUAAGUUGCAGGGUAUAGACCCGAAACCCGGUGAUCUAGCCAUGGGCAGGUUGAAGGUUGGGUAACACUAACUGGAGGACCGAACCGACUAAUGUUGAAAAAUUAGCGGAUGACCUGUGGCUGGGGGUGAAAGGCCAAUCAAACCGGGAGAUAGCUGGUUCUCCCCGAAAGCUAUUUAGGUAGCGCCUCGUGAACUCAUCUCCGGGGGUAGAGCACUGUUUCGGCUAGGGGGCCAUCCCGGCUUACCAACCCGAUGCAAACUGCGAAUACCGGAGAAUGUUAUCACGGGAGACACACGGCGGGUGCUAACGUCCGUCGUGAAGAGGGAAACAACCCAGACCGCCAGCUAAGGUCCCAAAGUCAUGGUUAAGUGGGAAACGAUGUGGGAAGGCCCAGACAGCCAGGAUGUUGGCUUAGAAGCAGCCAUCAUUUAAAGAAAGCGUAAUAGCUCACUGGUCGAGUCGGCCUGCGCGGAAGAUGUAACGGGGCUAAACCAUGCACCGAAGCUGCGGCAGCGACGCUUAUGCGUUGUUGGGUAGGGGAGCGUUCUGUAAGCCUGCGAAGGUGUGCUGUGAGGCAUGCUGGAGGUAUCAGAAGUGCGAAUGCUGACAUAAGUAACGAUAAAGCGGGUGAAAAGCCCGCUCGCCGGAAGACCAAGGGUUCCUGUCCAACGUUAAUCGGGGCAGGGUGAGUCGACCCCUAAGGCGAGGCCGAAAGGCGUAGUCGAUGGGAAACAGGUUAAUAUUCCUGUACUUGGUGUUACUGCGAAGGGGGGACGGAGAAGGCUAUGUCGGCCGGGCGACGGUUGUCCCGGUUUAAGCGUGUAGGCUGACUUUCCAGGCAAAUCCGGAAAGUUAAGGCUGAGGCGUGAUGACGAGGCACUACGGUGCUGAAGUGACAAAUGCCCUGCUUCCAGGAAAAGCCUCUAAGCAUCAGGUAACAUCAAAUCGUACCCCAAACCGACACAGGUGGUCAGGUAGAGAAUACCAAGGCGCUUGAGAGAACUCGGGUGAAGGAACUAGGCAAAAUGGUGCCGUAACUUCGGGAGAAGGCACGCUGACAUGUAGGUGAAGCCCCUGCGGGUGGAGCUGAAGUCAGUCGAAGAUACCAGCUGGCUGCAACUGUUUAUUAAAAACACAGCACUGUGCAAACACGAAAGUGGACGUAUACGGUGUGACGCCUGCCCGGUGCCGGAAGGUUAAUUGAUGGGGUUAUCGCAAGAGAAGCUCCUGAUCGAAGCCCCGGUAAACGGCGGCCGUAACUAUAACGGUCCUAAGGUAGCGAAAUUCCUUGUCGGGUAAGUUCCGACCUGCACGAAUGGCGUAAUGAUGGCCAGGCUGUCUCCACCCGAGACUCAGUGAAAUUGAACUCGCUGUGAAGAUGCAGUGUACCCGCGGCAAGACGGAAAGACCCCGUGAACCUUUACUACAGCUUGACACUGAACAUUGAGCCUUGAUGUGUAGGAUAGGUGGGAGGCUUUGAAGCGUGGACGCCAGUCUGCGUGGAGCCGACCUUGAAAUACCACCCUUUAAUGUUUGAUGUUCUAACCUGGCGCCGUGAUCCGGCGUGGGGACAGUGUCUGGUGGGUAGUUUGACUGGGGCGGUCUCCUCCCAAAGUGUAACGGAGGAGCACGAAGGUCAGCUAAUCCUGGUCGGACAUCAGGAGGUUAGUGCAAUGGCAUAAGCUGGCUUGACUGCGAGAGUGACGGCUCGAGCAGGUGCGAAAGCAGGUCAUAGUGAUCCGGUGGUUCUGUAUGGAAGGGCCAUCGCUCAACGGAUAAAAGGUACUCCGGGGAUAACAGGCUGAUACCGCCCAAGAGUUCAUAUCGACGGCGGUGUUUGGCACCUCGAUGUCGGCUCAUCACAUCCUGGGGCUGAAGUAGGUCCCAAGGGUAUGGCUGUUCGCCAUUUAAAGUGGUACGCGAGCUGGGUUUAGAACGUCGUGAGACAGUUCGGUCCCUAUCUGCCGUGGGCGCUGGAGAAUUGAGGGGGGCUGCUCCCAGUACGAGAGGACCGGAGUGGACGCAUCACUGGUGUUCGGGUUGUCAUGCCAAUGGCACUGCCCGGUAGCUAAAUGCGGAAGAGAUAAGUGCUGAAAGCAUCUAAGCACGAAACUUGCCCCGAGAUGAGUUCUCCCUGAGACUAUAAGUCUCCUGAAGGAACGUUGAAGACGACGACGUUGAUAGGCCGGGUGUGUAAGCGCAGCGAUGCGUUGAGCUAACCGGUACUAAUGAACCGUGAGGCUUAACCUUACAACGCCAAAGAAGU
This 2928-nucleotide ribosomal RNA is filed under the name Cronobacter sakazakii. RNAcentral describes it as "bacterial LSU rRNA". It matches the Rfam family "Bacterial large subunit ribosomal RNA". Lineage: Bacteria; Pseudomonadati; Pseudomonadota; Gammaproteobacteria; Enterobacterales; Enterobacteriaceae. The record is from RNAcentral.